RNAcentral lists this ribosomal RNA (467 nucleotides) under uncultured bacterium. RNAcentral describes it as "partial 16S ribosomal RNA". It matches the Rfam family "Bacterial small subunit ribosomal RNA", at positions 28 to 507 of the family's 1533-position model. The record is from RNAcentral.
GAUGAACGCUGGCGGCGUGCUUAACACAUGCAAGUCGAACGGAAAGGCCAGUGCUUGCACUGGUGCUCGAGUGGCGAACGGGUGAGUAACACGUGGGUGAUCUGCCCUGCACUUUGGGAUAAGCCUGGGAAACUGGGUCUAAUACCAGAUAGGACCAUGCUUUGGAUGGUGUGGUGGAAAGUUUUUUCGGUGUGGGAUGAGCUUGCGGCCUAUCAGCUUGUUGGUGGGGUAAUGGCCUACCAAGGCGUCGACGGGUAGCCGGGCUGGGAGGGUGGACGGGCACAUUGGGAACGGGAUUCCGCCCAGGCUCCUACGGGGGGGAGGAGGGGGGAAUAUUGCAAAAAGGGGGGAAGCCCGGUGCAGCGACGCCGCGUGGGGGAUGACGGCCUUCGGGUUGUAAACCCCUUUCGCAACUGACGAAGCUUUUUGUGACGGUAGGUUGAGAAGAAGCACCGGCUAACUACGUG